CCUACGGGUGGCUGCAGUGAGGAAUAUUGGUCAAUGGACGAGAGUCUGAACCAGCCAAGUAGCGUGAAGGAUGACUGCCCUAUGGGUUGUAAACUUCUUUUAUGAAGGAAUAAAAUGAGGCACGUGUGCCUUUUUGCAUGUACUUUAUGAAUAAGGAUCGGCUAACUCCGUGCCAGCAGCCGCGGUAAUACGGAGGAUCCGGGCGUUAUCCGGAUUUAUUGGGUUUAAAGGGAGCGUAGAGGGCUUGUUAAGUCAGCUGUGAAAGUUUGUGGCUCAACCGUGGAAUUGCGAUUGAUCCUGGCAUUCUUGAGUACAGUGGAGGUAGGCGGAAUUCGUGGUGUAGCGGUGAAAUGCUUAGAUAUCACGAAGAACCCCGAUUGCGAAGGCAGCUUACUAAACUGUGACUGACGUUGAUGCUCGAAAGUGUGGGUAUCAAACAGGAUUAGAUACCCUGGUAGUC
This 460-nucleotide ribosomal RNA is filed under the name uncultured bacterium. Its description in RNAcentral is "partial 16S ribosomal RNA". It matches the Rfam family "Bacterial small subunit ribosomal RNA", at positions 338 to 795 of the family's 1533-position model. The record is from RNAcentral.